AAACUGAAAAGAUUUGUUACAG
RNAcentral lists this microRNA (22 nucleotides) under Haemonchus contortus (barber pole worm). RNAcentral's name for it is "hco-miR-255". Its record names the gene hco-miR-255. Lineage: Eukaryota; Metazoa; Nematoda; Chromadorea; Rhabditida; Trichostrongylidae. RNAcentral also lists the same sequence under 1 other name. The record is from miRBase by way of RNAcentral.